ACGGUCCUACGGGACGCAGCAGUGAGGAAUAUUGGUCAAUGGGCGCGAGCCUGAACCAGCCAAGUCGCGUGAGGGAAGACGGUCCUAUGGAUUGUAAACCUCUUUUGUCGGGGAGCAAAAGACGCCACGUGUGGCGUUCCGAGAGUACCCGAAGAAAAAGCAUCGGCUAACUCCGUGCCAGCAGCCGCGGUAAUACGGAGGAUGCGAGCGUUAUCCGGAUUUAUUGGGUUUAUAGGGUGCGCAGGAGGAAGAUCAAGUCAGCGGUAAAAUUGAGAGGCUCAACCUCUUCGAGCCGUUGAAACUUG
This 305-nucleotide ribosomal RNA is filed under the name uncultured bacterium. RNAcentral's name for it is "bacterial SSU rRNA". It matches the Rfam family "Bacterial small subunit ribosomal RNA", at positions 333 to 636 of the family's 1533-position model. The record is from RNAcentral.